CCAACACUGUGUUGCCCUGCUACGUUUGAAAUCAGAGUUCCCUGCAGAUAACGUUCUUUCUGCCUGCCCGCCCUGGAAGAAGUGAACUGACCGGAGUCUUCAACAAAAAUGAAGCUAUGAAAAGAAGGAAGGAGACGUCCAGGACUGAACAGAGCUGUCACCUGUCACAGUGCAGUGCACCGACUGACUGCCGCUAUUUGCUUGGAUGUUGCUGAAAGAAAGGAGGCAUUCUUCAUUGUGCAGCACUAGCCUACUGUGGAGGCCGAGAGAGUUUUGACGAGGCUUCUGUACCCAGGAGGCGGAGGCAGCAAUUCCAGCUUCAAUGCGCACAGUCCUUUAAAAGGGACACCCAGCUAAGAUUUUAUUGCAAAUUCUACACAGAAUGCACUGCUCUACACAUUUGGUUUUGGAAACACUGUGUAUUAUUGUAAGUGUACACCAGGGGUGGGGAACCUUUUUCAUUUGAAGGGCCACUUCAAAUUACUCUGAGGGCCG
Engraulis encrasicolus (European anchovy) is the source of this 495-nucleotide long non-coding RNA. RefSeq lists it as uncharacterized. NCBI's taxonomy places the organism in Eukaryota, Metazoa, Chordata, Actinopteri, Clupeiformes, Engraulidae. The record is from RefSeq and is a predicted model, not a curated record. The transcript is spliced from 4 exons.